UGUGCGCGAGUCAAUGGGUCUUGAAUAAGCCCGGCGGCGCAAUGAAAGUAUAGGCCGGCGGAGGUCGGCCGUAUCCGGGAUCCCCGUUCCCUCGCGGGCGGGGCGCACCGGAGACCCGCCGCGUUCCACUCGUGGAAGUGGCGGUGUUUGAGCGCACACGUUGGGACCCGAAAGAUGGCGAACUAUGCCCGGACAGGACGAAGCCAGAGGAAACUCUGGUGGAGGUCCGUAGCGGUUCUGACGUGCAAAUCGAUCGUCAGAUCUGGGUCUAGGGGCGUAAGACUAAUCGAGCCAUCUA
This 298-nucleotide ribosomal RNA is filed under the name Gonatium rubens. RNAcentral's name for it is "partial 28S ribosomal RNA". It matches the Rfam family "Eukaryotic large subunit ribosomal RNA", at positions 681 to 946 of the family's 3401-position model. Lineage: Eukaryota; Metazoa; Arthropoda; Arachnida; Araneae; Linyphiidae. The record is from RNAcentral.